RNAcentral lists this ribosomal RNA (528 nucleotides) under Laccaria proxima. RNAcentral's name for it is "eukaryotic LSU rRNA". The stretch from base 194 to 347 matches the Rfam family "5.8S ribosomal RNA". The record is from RNAcentral. Lineage: Eukaryota; Fungi; Basidiomycota; Agaricomycetes; Agaricales; Hydnangiaceae.
CUCGUCCGUCAUCUUUAUCUCUCCACCUGUGCACAUUUUGUAGUCUUGGAUAACUCUCGAGGCAACUCGGAUUUUAGAAUCGCCGUGCUGUACAAGUCGGCUUUCCUUUCAUUUCCAAGACUAUGUUUUUAUAUACACCAAAGUAUGUUCAAAGAAUGUCAUCAAUGGGAACUUGUUUCCUAUAAAAUUAUACAACUUUCAGCAACGGAUCUCUUGGCUCUCGCAUCGAUGAAGAACGCAGCGAAAUGCGAUAAGUAAUGUGAAUUGCAGAAUUCAGUGAAUCAUCGAAUCUUUGAACGCACCUUGCGCUCCUUGGUAUUCCGAGGAGCAUGCCUGUUUGAGUGUCAUUAAAUUCUCAACCUUCCAACUUUUAUUAGCUUGGUUAGGCUUGGAUGUGGGGGUUGCGGGCUUCAUUAACGAGGUCGGCUCUCCUUAAAUGCAUUAGCGGAACUUUUGUGGACCGUCUAUUGGUGUGAUAAUUAUCUACGCCGUGGAUGUGAAGCAGCUUUAUGAAGUUCAGCUUCUAAC